Molecule: non-coding RNA, 273 nt
Organism: Vicia faba (fava bean)
Lineage: Eukaryota; Viridiplantae; Streptophyta; Magnoliopsida; Fabales; Fabaceae
Source: the annotation of a GenBank genome assembly
AUGGUAAGAGUUUCAUAUUUGUUUAAUCUUGUUCUUGUUCUUCUCAAGCUACAUACAAAUCCUGGUUUGUACACACAAGUUAUGUCACGUGGUAUUUGUGAAUUUAUUUGUAAUAAAAUUAGAUUGGAAAAUGUAAACCAUUGCUUAUAUGGUUCAACAGAUAAUAAUAUGGUUAAAAUAAUAUUAUAUGUUAUUUUCAUCCUUAGGCAUCAAUGUCUUUCUAUCAAAUUACUUAGCAUGGAAAUUCACCAUAGACACAAUUUGAAGUCUUAG